CCUCGCUGGAAAUAAGAAAUGAAAACAGAAAGAAGAGGUCCUAUGACAGUUGGCCCCGAUGACAGUCGCCUAAGAGAAGGAGAAUCAAAAUGAAGUACAGAUUUACAAUUUCAAGAGGAAGUGAGGGCUGAGGGCAGGGCUCGGUGGUAGAUCCGCGCCUAGAAGGUCUGAGGUCCGAGUUCCAUCUUCAGUAUCGCACCCGCACAAAGGAGGAAACCAACAUGCAGAUUAGCCAAGUAAGGCAAUUUUUAAUAAAGAUUUCUUUCAUGCAACCCAUAAUGCUUGGGAUUGUUGAUCAGAUGACACAUAAUUCAGGGCUGUGGAUCAAGGACUCGGCUUUUUAAAAAGACUUGUGUGCCGAUUGCCUGAGAUCUUUUAGUCCCAGCCUCAUAUCAUUCAACUCCCAGGCCGUAGGGUGUUGGCACUUGGAGCAUCUGUGUUGUGUGUUUAGGUCAGUGACUAUAAUUAGAGGAAGUGGUUCAAAGUCUGGGAUUCAUGAUUCACAUGGCUGGGAGCCAUUUGACCCACACUCUCUGACAAACCCCAAACCUUGGUCCUCUGAUGGAAAUUGGCGUCUCCUCCGAGUGCUCUGCAGGAAAUCUGAAUUGGAAAUCAGUUCUCAUCUUGGAAAUGCAAACCAGAGGACCAGAUAGUGUUGAAAAGAAGACAGAAAACAUUAUCUAAGCUCCAAAGCAAGACUUUCUAUCUGUUGUUAAAAAUAUUGAAAUACUUCCUUGUCCAUGGGUAAUAGUGGCUUCUCAAGUUCCCUGUGGCUCUGAGAUAUCCAGGGUCCCCCACGGUGUCCUGGACUGCCAUGUGCUCCGGCCACCUGAGUUUUAACACCUGGCAGCUGGUAUAAUAGGUG
Molecule: long non-coding RNA, 865 nt
Filed under: Marmota monax (woodchuck)
Lineage: Eukaryota; Metazoa; Chordata; Mammalia; Rodentia; Sciuridae
Source: RNAcentral